This 429-nucleotide ribosomal RNA is filed under the name Acidobacteriota bacterium. RNAcentral's name for it is "Acidobacteria bacterium partial 16S ribosomal RNA". It matches the Rfam family "Bacterial small subunit ribosomal RNA", at positions 355 to 776 of the family's 1533-position model. The record is from RNAcentral. Lineage: Bacteria; Pseudomonadati; Acidobacteriota.
UGGGGAAUUUUGGACAAUGGGGGAAACCCUGAUCCAGCCAUCCCGCGUGUGCGAUGAAGGCCUUCGGGUUGUAAAGCACUUUUGGCAGGAAAGAAACGUCAUGGGUUAAUACCCCGUGAAACUGACGGUACCUGCAGAAUAAGCACCGGCUAACUACGUGCCAGCAGCCGCGGUAAUACGUAGGGUGCAAGCGUUAAUCGGAAUUACUGGGCGUAAAGCGUGCGCAGGCGGUUCGGAAAGAAAGAUGUGAAAUCCCAGAGCUCAACUUUGGAACUGCAUUUUUAACUACCGGGCUAGAGUGUGUCAGAGGGGGGUGGAAUUCCGCGUGUAGCAAUGAAAUGCGUAGAUAUGCGGAGGAACACCGAUGGCGAAGGCAGCCUCCUGGGAUAACACUGACGCUCAUGCACGAAAGCGUGGGGAGCAAACAGG